UACGUAGGGGGCUAGCGUUGUCCGGAAUCAUUGGGCGUAAAGCGCGUGUAGGCGGUCCGGUAAGUCCGCUGUGAAAGUCGGGGGCUCAACCCUCGGAUGCCGGUGGAUACUGUCGGGCUUGAGUACGGAAGAGGCGAGUGGAAUUCCGGGUGUAGCGGUGAAAUGCGCAGAUAUCAGGAGGAACACCAAUUGCGAAGGCAGCUCGCUGGGACGUUACUGACGCUGAGACGCGAAAGCGUGGGGAGCAAACAGG
RNAcentral lists this ribosomal RNA (253 nucleotides) under uncultured bacterium. RNAcentral describes it as "partial 16S ribosomal RNA". It matches the Rfam family "Bacterial small subunit ribosomal RNA", at positions 524 to 776 of the family's 1533-position model. The record is from RNAcentral.